Molecule: long non-coding RNA, 29540 nt
Filed under: Nicotiana benthamiana
Lineage: Eukaryota; Viridiplantae; Streptophyta; Magnoliopsida; Solanales; Solanaceae
Description: long non-coding RNA (NBEN_LNC026843)
Source: RNAcentral
GAGGUUGUUUCCAAUCGACCCUCGGCGCAUAGGAAAAAGGGAUAUCAGCUGUAAAACAAAAACAAAAACAAAAACAAUAACAAAUAGAGCAUUAGUAUCGCCCGCAGAAAUAGCAGAAAUAGCGGAAAUAAUUAUCUAAACAUAAGGAACUUAAAUACAAUCGCAUGCAAUAAUAUCAUACAGUAACUACGAAGAACUCUAGGAGCCCCUAACCUACAACCCUGAUCCUAGACCUCCAGACUCUCCUNNNNNNNNNNNNNNNNNNNNNNNNNNNNNNNNNNNNNNNNNNNNNNNNNNNNNNNNNNNNNNNNNNNNNNNNNNNNNNNNNNNNNNNNNNNNNNNNNNNNNNNNNNNNNNNNNNNNNNNNNNNNNNNNNNNNNNNNNNNNNNNNNNNNNNNNNNNNNNNNNNNNNNNNNNNNNNNNNNNNNNNNNNNNNNNNNNNNNNNNNNNNNNNNNNNNNNNNNNNAACAAUCUCCAGCCGCUCGCAGCUCCUCACCGGGGCAUCGGGACCCCUCCUCCGAACAUGCCCGAACCACCUCAGCCUCGCUUCUCGCAUCUUCACAUCUACCGGGGCCACCCCUACCUUCUCUCGAAUAACUUCGUUCCUAAUCUUAUCUAUUCUGGUGUGCCCGCACAUCCACCUAAGCAUCCUCAUCUAAGCAUCCACCUAAGUCUGGAUUUAAGCUUUUUGAUUGAGAAAUAGUUAAAUUUAUGACCAAUUUGUUGAUUGUUCAGGAAGCUUUGAGGACGCGUGGGCUGAAGGAUGACACGACGUGCAUAGUAGUUGACAUAAUUCCUCCGGAUAACACUGUACGGCCUGCAACUCCCCCCAAGAAAUAUAACAAACUCCAAUCUCUUUUUAGAAGAAAGUCACAGAAAUCUACUGCUAAACUAUCGAAAAAGCUGUCAGCUAUAGGCAUUGUAGAGGAACUGUUUGAAGAAGGCUCAGCAAUGCUUGCUGAAAGGUUAGAAUUCUCUUGAACUUUGAAACUUUCAAGCUAUGGUUUAAUAUUUCAUGAAGUUUUUUUAUUUCUGUUGAAGUUGGAUGGAAUAAUUAGACAAUAUAUUGGUUGAUAUAAGAUAUCAAGAUGCUUAUUAUUCACAUAUAGCCUUUUCACACUGAUAUCAUAUAAGUAGCUUGGUAUUACAUUUUGACUUGAGUAGAUUCUACACUGUUGUGGUUGGUGGGUAUAUGAUGAUAUAUCACUAUAUACUGGUCAGAUUCUUUAAAAUUCAGUUUUUACAAAUGCAGCCUUUGUAGCCUAUGUUGUCCGGAGUUUCCGCAUGCGUGUCGGAUCCUCCCCGGAUUAACUAAUACCUCAAACAAAACAUAGGAUAAAAAUCUCAAACUUUAUCGUGUGAUUAUUAUCCUCUUCCAUGUAGCAAACGAUCCCUAAUCAGGGCAAACAUUCCAGAAUGUAAAAAAAAAAGAAGAACAAGGCUGGUUAUUAUUAGACUUGGAAUUCAGUAUUCUUGAAUUUAUUUUCUCUUUUUUUCCAUGACAUAUAUUUCCAAGAAGAAGACUUUGAUCAUUUUAUUCUUAUGUGGACUGCAGAUUAGGGAGUGAAGAUGCAAAUGGUCCAUCAAUGUCCGGUCUCUUCAUCUGUGCUGUUUGCCAAGUUGAUCUUGCUGCAAGCGAAGGCAUAUCAGUACAUGCAGGUUCAAUUUUCUCGACGAGCUCAAAGCCUUGGCAAGGUCCAUUCCUAUGUGCUGACUGUCGUGAUAAGAAGGACGCCAUGGAAGGAAAACGACCAAGUGGAGUCAAAGUCGCUUAACUGGUGCAUCAUAGCCAAGUGUGUCAACAAUUUUGUUAUGAUUCUUUCUGAUUUCUGCUUCAUAUCUUAGUUAAGAUGAUUUAUUGAACAUUGGCAUCAGAGCAUACUGUAUGUCGGCCAAUAAUGUAAAUAGGUUAUUGGGAUGUUAUAAGUUCCUUCUUCCAUAGUAGUUAUGAGAUUCUAAGAGACAUUAAAUGUGCACAAAAACUAAUUAUUUUGUACUUGGGAUAGUGAAUGAAAAAGUCCUUGGAAUCUCAGUUGGUACUGAAGCAAAUUUAGUCUCUGAGUCAAUAGUUGCCUCUGCAUUUUAUUGCUUUUUAUGUCAAGAGAUAGAGAGAGGGAGAGAGAUAGAUACUGAGAAAAGAGACAAGUGCUCAUCCAAUAUUACAAGCUCAAUAAAUAUACUACAAGUUGUAAUAUGUCAUAUCAGACAGAAAAUACUACCAGAAAGGGAAAUAACAUCAUUUCACAGUGUUUUGAAUUUGUAUCUUCAUUAGUCUACUUUCUGAGAACAUUUCCAUAUCCACUAACAAACUUGACCCCGAAUAAGAAGCCUAAAUUGACUGGAAAAUAAUAAUCACAAUUUACAAACAAGAAUUCCACUGAACAAUUAAGUCGAUAUCUACUCUUCAUCCCUGUUAGCUUGUCUUGUUUGCAACGAAGGAAUAUCUUAAAAUGAAGACAAGAGGGGCUUGCUCUGAUGGUAAACAACCCCCACUUCCAACCGAGAGGUUGUGAGUUCGAGUCUCCCCAAGAGCAAAGGUGGGAAGUUCUUGGAGGNNNNNNNNNNNNNNNNNNNNNNNNNNNNNNNNNNNNNNNNNNNNNNNNNNNNNNNNNNNNNNNNNNNNNNNNNNNNNNNNNNNNNNNNNNNNNNNNNNNNNNNNNNNNNNNNNNNNNNNNNNNNNNNNNNNNNNNNNNNNNNNNNNNNACAGCCUCUCUACCCUAGGGUAGGGGUAAGGUCUGCGUACAUACUACUCUCCCCAAACCCCACUAAGUGGGAUUAUACUGGGUUGUACUUUGAAGUCAUCCCAGAAAUAUCAAGUCUGUCUCUUCACUAGGUUUGAUAAUGAAGUAUGUUUAGCUCAAAUUUGUCAUACACUUUAUAAGCAUAAAUCAAUUAAAAUCAACGAAGGGCCAAUCAUAGCAGAUCGUAAUAAAUGAAAAGAUCAAAUGAAUAAAAUGUAUGAGAUAGUAUUGAUUAAGGGGAGGAGGGUAAAGAUCUUUUAUUAAUAAUAUCGAUUUGGUCUGUCUCUCCUUGGAGAGGUUCAGAGCCUUACGAUGUUAUAUAUGCUCUUCUUUUAGAAGUCCAGGUGAACAAGAAGAAGCAGCCCCCCUUUUAGGGUUCUUUCUCUUAAUAUUUAUUGUUGUGUAUCUUGCCAGCCGACAAUGGGCGGCCGUGGCUGCAUCGAAGGGACGUCCGUAAACGAUGAGUAGGCCGUGGUCUCGCUACUCGCUAAUUAGGUUGAGUAACCUUGGAAUACUUUGGUCGGUAAAUGGUUAUUCCUUUUAUUAACCCGAACGAGCUUAGGAGCUAGUUAGACGCGCUACUUAUCACAAAUCUAAUUCUGACCCAUACAGAUAGUCCCUCUGCUUAUUGAGGUCGGGAUCCGGCCGAGCUCGAUGAGCGAAUUUUGCCGAUAGCCGUAGUCGUUUAUGCUUUGGAGACGACCGUAGCCGUUUAAUUUUUUGGAGAUGGCCGUAGCUAUUUAUUUGCAUGUACUCUUCUUUUGGUAGGAGACCGUAGUCACCUUAUUGUCAAGGGACGACGAUAGCCGUUGUUUUGAGAGGGCCGUAUCCGUCCUUAUUUCGGGAAAGGCCGUAGCCGUUUUGUAUUCAAGAGACGGCCGCGACCGUUAUUACUUCAGAGAUGGAUGCAAUCAAUACUACUUUCGGAGGCGGCCGUGGCCAGCAUUACUUUGAAGAUGGCCGUAACCACUAAUGGUUUAGAGAUGGUUGUAGCCAAUAACAUGCUUGGGGGGAAUACGAUCAUGCUUACCGCGUAUAGGGAAGGUUUCAUAUGCACAGUGACGCAUGGGGCGUGCUCUUGGUAUCUUGGGGGCUGUUACAACCGUUCCACGGGUGACGUGCCGAUUGACGUUUGAAGGACCGUUCCGUGGUAUCUGUCAUAAUGAUGCACGUUACUGUAGGCCUGAAUCGUUUUGCGGUUGGUUAAGCAGUUAAUGGUGACCUUCUGUCACGACCCAAACCGAAAGGUCGUGACGGGUACCCGGUGCCUUACUCAAUCGAGUACCAACGUAACAUAAUAUACAAACUUAUACAUGUGAUGUACAGGCCCAUAAGGCCGACAUGACCAUUUGUAAACUCAAAACAUAGGCCGAUAAGGCCAUACAAGUAUCUGUAUACCUGACAUAUGUGUACAAGCAUCUAAGAGUACCUAAUAUCAUAAAGGUUGCUACAGGGCCACGCUAUACCAAUCAAUACAUAUCCAAAGCAUACUAACCAAAUAAGCAACUCCGGAUCAAGUGGAGUGCACCAACACCUUCCGCUGAGCUGAUAACCUACUUAGAGGAAUAUCAAGGUCGGGAUAAGGCCCGUCAUACCAAUCAAUACAUAUCCAAAGCAUACUGACCGAAUAGGCAACUCCGGAGCAAGUGGAGUGCAUCAACACUUUUCCUGAGCUGAUAGCCUACUAGGAAGUUGUCAACCUAUUAAUCGGGACCUGCGGGCAUGAAACGCAGCGUCCCCAGGCAAAAGGGACGUCAGUACAAAUAAAAUAACGAGUAUGUAAGGAAGGAAAGCAUAAGCAAGAACUGUAAUGUAAGGAGAGAUAGAGAAGAUACAACCUGGAACAUCUGAGUGCCUCUGGGGGAUACUGACAUGAAAUGCAUAAUACAUAUAUAUACAUAAACUUUUAAAAACAUACGCCUCUGUGGGCAUCGAGUGCAUUUGGGGGCUACUGACAUGAAAGGCAUAAUACAUAUAUAUACAUAAAAUUUUAACAACAUUUGUCUCAAUGGGCAUCAAGAUCAUCAUAUCGUACCCGACCUUAUAGAGGACUCGGUAAAAAUGUACCCGGCCACGUGGAGCUCGGUAAACCCAACUGAUCAGUGGUUGCAUAAUAGGUGUCGUACCAGGCCGACUAUAGCGCGGCUCGGUGAGUAAAAUAGAUACAUAUAUAUAAUGCUUGCUCGACUCAUGGACUCAUAUUCUAGACCUUUCGGAGUGACGUAAGAUCAUUGCACCUUCGAUUAACAUUAUGGACAUCAUACCAUCAAUAUGGACCUUAGUAGGAUUUAAGGAUCAUACACACUUGUUUAGAAUAAAUUUGUACGGAAAGAACAACAUGGACAAUCUUAGUUGCUACUACACACUUGUUUAGAAUAACUUUAUAAGGAAAGAACAACAUGGACAAUCUUAGUUUCUAGGAGUAGAUCCAUUAUGAAGUAGCGUAUCGUUUAUGUUCGUUUCAAUUUAGAUCAUGCCAAAAGAAAUACAGAAGUGCCUUAACAUACCUUAACCAUAGUGAGUCCUUAAUACCUCUCAAGCAACUCUUCAAACAACUCAACUCAAUAUACCAUUGCAUAAGGAGAUUCAAAAUCAGUAUUGAAUAAAGGCUAAGUUUGCAACUUAUACUUGUAGCUUGUUUAUAUAAAUUCAGGCAGUCUCCCCUGUAAAAGGGACUCCUCCAAUACCAUAUACCAACAAAUAUUACCAUAGAAAUCCAGCGAUACAUAAUUAUCAAUAACAAGACACCAUAAAAUAACAACAAGUCGUAAUUAUUUGACGACUAGCGAUAAGCUCCAAUUGGAAUUCGUAUACCCCAUAUCAUCUCUUAUAGACUUUUUACUUUAGAUUAAUAGCAUCAUUAACAUGAUAAUGAAUCCAUUCAUCAAUAACUCCAGCCUUAUACCACAUAUUCAUACCAAAUAAAAUGAUCCACAACUCCAAUUAUCCUUAAUUAGUAACUUUAUUCACUAGUUCAGGUCUAGUUCAUGUCUAGUUCAUCCAUUCAACUUAACCGAUGCCAAGAUAACCUUAAUAACCUGUAGGAACACUAUUUACCUCAUACAGUAGAUGCAAGUCGGCACGCAUAUUUUAUUUAGCUUACAACAGCCCUGAAAAGAAUGGACCUUGGGCCUAACUCAAACCCAAAAGCUAGCUUAUGAGGUGAGGAUUGCCCAAGCCAUAUAAGGAGACCAAGGACCUCAAAUCCCUCCGAUUGGGACAACUCAACAAGCCCAAAUACACCCCAGUCCAUUCAUACCAAGAACGACGACUAUAGUAGUGUCCAACACCCCGAAAAUAUUAUAAAGAAUGACUAAUCCAUUAUUUCAAAAUUAUGUGGUGUUUCUACACACCAUUUAUCCUCCAAAAACUCCAUUAAAUAGCAUCAAAAUAUACAGCCCAAAAGCUACACGAACCAGCCCACAAAACAGCCCACAACAAGUCGAAUAAUUCGAACUCACGGCUUCCGAUCACCGUCCCGCGGGUUCUAGCUAUUAGGAAAUCAAUUAAUCAACCUUCCUUGAUAUUUAAGAGCUUAAUACAGAACUAAAUUAUUUUCUUAACCUAUUAAAUACCUUCCAUAACUCAACUACAAAGAAAAAGAGAGACUAUGUAGCGAUACUUACAUCGUGGGGAUCGUUCUUGCAUAAUUGCUUCUUGAUUUCGUGCCCGGGAUGAUAAUAUUAUUGAAAAUACUCGUGGGGAGCUUGAGGGUGAGUUUGGGGGUGUUAUUCGGUCGUGGUCUCUGUAAUAAUGGAGAAGGAGAUGAGAUUGGGAUGAAAUAUCCCGUUUUUCCAAAGGUCAAAAAGGUGCCACUUGGCACCCUUGCACAGGUCCUCCUUCAAACGCUUAUAUCUUUUUAUCCGGAUAUCGUAUGAACAAAAGGUUAAGAGCGUUGGAAACUACAUUACAAGACCUUCAAUUUUAUAUAUAAUAUGCCCCAAAAAGACAUCAUAGAGCACCCGAAAUUUAUUACUCAAAAAGCUUCAUUAUAAGGCAAAUCCGUAGCCGGUUUUUCCGCAACUUAAAUUCGAUUUUUCUCAAACUUUAUAUUUCCUAUCCAAACAACAUAUAUAGUCAUAUCAAGGCUUUAAACUCGGUUAAAUCAUAAUUAAAAAGUCUCAUAUUUAUCUUAAUUGCUUAACACUUCGGCAAACCUUUCUUAUCCUUGUAGAAGGAUUUCAUCCUCUUUGAGCUUACAUCAAUAGACUCACGACGUGCUUUCAUGUACAAAAAUAUGGGUUGUAACACCUUUGGGGUUCGCGAAAGCCAUUUAUGCUUCGUCUAUAAAUAAGGGGUUGUAUCAUUCAGUUCUUAUUUUUUCAAUAUUUGUUUAAGUGAAAUUUCGAGAAAGACAGCUCUUGUUGUUGUUAGAUUAAUUCGUCUUCUUCUCCUCGUUACUUCGUUCUUCGUCGUUUAUCGUUAGAUCUUCAUCUUCUCUUAUAGCGGGAAUUCGCACGUGGGCAUCUUUCUGGGAGGUCCAUGGCCGUAGGCCGGCCGCUGGUAAGAAUCUGACUUGCCGUGUUGUUCUCCUUUCAUAGUUCUUAGCUUCCUUUCCUUGACUCUCCUUCCUUUGCUGGUGAGGACGACCACAUCGCAGGAGGGCUCCUCAGCUUGCUUUCCAUAGGCCGGGGGCGACUGCCCGGUUGGUUGCAAUGCGGCACCUCGCCCGGUUCCGAGGGCGACUUCAGUUGAAUCCUCAGCGGCUCACUCUCCAGCACGGUCCGUGCACCGGGUUGAAGAAUCUUCAGGGGCCGUGCGUUCCAGGGUGGAGUUGCCACCGAAUGGAGACGAGGAAGAAGACGAGAGGCCGCUGGUUCGGCGUAGGGUGGCGUUCACCCCGGUCCUUCUGGUGGUGAUUAGUUUGGAUUCUCCACCAUCGUAAGCGGAAGGGAAUGCAGUGGAUCCUGCCCCAGAGGGCGAGCAUUUAGUGGGGGUUUCCCCGGUUGGCUUAGGCCAUGGUGUUGCAGUCGCUUCGGCGAUUCAAAUUUUAGUUUCUGUUGCUGAGAGGGAAGAUAGUUCCUCAACAACGGUUUUGGUGGAGGAUACGGGCGCCAACGUUUUGGCGGGUGCGGACGCUUCAACUUCCCGAGCGGCGGAGGCCUCGACUUCCAGGGCGGCGGAAGGAAGGGGCGUCAGAGGAGAGGGGGAUGAUUUCUGAGUCCGACAUGGACCCUGAGGACGCCCGUCUGUUCCACGAGGGUUAUACCCGCCCAGCGAUGCAGGCCGAAGGGGAUUAGCGCUAUAUGGAGAUUCCUAAUUAGUAGAACCUGCUAAUCGAGGAGGAGAAUCUGGUGACGCUGUUCGAGGUUAUAUGCUCGGAGAUGGAGAGCGCGUCCUUGAGGGGCAUCUCAGAUGUUGGGUUGAUGGGCGAGGUGGCCGCCCUGGGUACAAAGGUAUGUGUGAAGUCUCAGUUUAUUUCUUUUCUUAAUGUAUUUUCUUGUAUUGACUGCUAUCAUGUUUGCUGUAGUCAUUCUUAUUGGAGAUGGAGAGCAUUCGUCGGGCCAAUAUCCGCUCGGCUUUCUUUGUGCGGUUGUUGGAGAAAUACCGCCGCUACCGGGACCGGUGCCGUGAUUUGCGUGAAUGCUUAAGGAACGACCCGCGAUACCAGGAGCUGGUAGAAGAGCUGGCGUGGAGGGAACUUCAUAUGCAACAGACCCUUAACAGGGUAAAUGCUCUUGAGAGGUAGCUCCGUCAAAAGAACGAGGAGAUGGACGGUAAAAGAAGGGCGGCUACUGAGAAAGAGCGCUAAAAUCGGACUACGGCAACGGAGACCGCUGAGGCUUUGACUAGGCAGGUGGCUGCCCUAGAGACGGAGACCGUUGCUUUAAGAAAGCAGGCAGAGGACGCCCUGGCGAGGGUCGAAACGUUGCAGGCGACCAACGGCGCCCAAGAAAGAGAAUGCAGAUUGGAGAGGGCCGCCGCUACUUUCCGAGACAGGGCGUUGGAGGGGCGGAUUGCUGUUUGUGAGCAAGACGCCCGUACUACGGCAUAUCGGAUUGCGGCCUUGGAGGCUGAGAACCAGCGCCUGAGGAAUCAGGUCGCUUCUUUCGAUCCUGCUCGUGAGCUUUGGAUGUACGCCGAGGCCCAACUCGACGUGUAUAGGAGGUUGUGGGAAGCCGGCGUUGUGCCUGAGGCCACCUAGAGGCACGCCAAAAGGCUCAUGACGCCCGCCUCGACUGCGGUUUUGACCCGUCUACGCCCGGGGGUGAUGAUGGCGCCGAGGGUGCUGACAAUGUUGAAGAGGGCGCUGGUGGCGCCGAGUGAACAAAGAGAAAGUUCGUAAUAUUUGUUUAGUUUUCAUUCUCUUUUUCUCUUUUAUUUUUGUUUCCAUUUGGCUGUCUUUUUUUUUUGCCGGCCCUGGGCCAAUGUAAUUGGGGUUAACCCCUUGUAAAUACUGUGAAUAUAUGUGCCUUUCUUCCUUUCUGUUUGUUUUGUAUCAAUUUCGUACGUUCCUUUUUUGUGCUCGUUUGAGAGGGCCUUACCUUAAAGUUUUUCUAGUGAGCAUGCUGAUGGUCUCGACCGGUUAUGUAAUUUCGACCAUUAUCGAAUUGAUUCCUUACCUUAAGGAAAAAUUGGUGUAGAUGGCUUUAGCCAUAGACAUACGCUUUUGGUUAUCACCUCCCUCCACUUGGUGGGAGUGGGUUGUAGUCGUGUUUGGGCAGCGGCGACACGUAGCCUUAGUCCUUACUAUUGGCCGUGGUAAUGGAAAGCACAGCCUUGUAGUUCGACUUGGGCCGAACUUUAUGUGGGCCGAAACUUUAGUUUUAAGUUAGUCGUACUUACUUGAAUGGCGGGGGCACUUGGCCCGAGCUGGGGUUCGACCGUGGUUGAACAAUUGGGAGUGCUCGGCCUCGUCUGAUCGCGGCCCAGCUCGUAUAGGGGGCGCUUGGCUCGACCUGGCUUCGAGCGUGGUUGAACAUUUGGUGGCGCUCGACCUCGCUUGGUUGCGGCCCGGCUCAUAGCGGCGGGGACGUAUAGUCUUGGCUUUGAUUCGUCCGUGGUUGAGUUUGCGACUCUUGUGAUGGAGGUGUGUAGCCUAAGUCCUAGUUCCACUCGUAGUUGAAUUCUUUGGGCGAGGGUACGUAUCCUGAGUCCUAGUUCAACUCGUAGUUGAACUUUUUGGGCGAGGGCACGUAGCCUGAGUUGUUGUUCAACUGUAGUUGAACCUUUGUAAUUCUUAAUGGCGAAGGCACUUGGCCUAAGUCCUAGUUCAACUCGUAGUUGAACUAUUUGGGCGAGGGCACGUAACCUGAGUUGUUGUUCAACUGUAGUAGAACCUUUGUAAUUUUUCUGAUGUCGAAGGUACAUAGUCUGAGUUGUUGUUCAACCGUAGUUGAAACUUUGUAAUUCUUAAUGGCGAAGGCACUUGGCCUGAUUCCCAGUUCAACUCGUAGUUGAACUUUUUGGGCGAGGGCACGUAGCCUGAGUUGUUGUUCAACAGGCACUUGGCCUUAGUCCCACUUCAACUCAUAGUUGGACUUUUGGGCGUGGGCACGUAGCCUGAGUUAUCGUUCAACCGUAGUUGAAUCUUGCAAUUUCUGAUGGCGAAGGCACAUAGCCUGAGUUGUUGUUCAACUGUAGUUGAACCUUUGUAAUUCUUAAUGGCAAAGGCACUUGGCCUGAGUCCCACUUCAACUUGUAGUUGAACUUUUUGGGCGAGGGCAUAUAGCCUGAGUUGUUUUUCACCCAUAGUUGAACCUUUGUAAUUUUUCUGAUAUCGAAGGCACAUAGCCUGAGUUGUUGUUCAACCGUAGUUGAACCUUUGUAAUUCUUAAGGGCGAAGGCACUUGGCCAGAGUCCCAGUUCAACUCGUAGUUGAACUUUUUGGGCGAGGGCACGUAGUCUGAGUUGUUGUUCAACCAUAGGUGAUCCUUCGUAAUUUUUCUGAUGUCGAAGGCACAUGGCCUGAGUCCUAGUUCAACUCGUAGUUGAACUUUUUGGGCGAGGGCAUCUAGCCUGAGUUGUUGUUCAACCAUAGUUGAACCUUUGUAAUUUUUCUGAUGUCGAAGGCACAUAGCCUGAGUUGUUGUUCAACCGUAGUUGAAUCUUUGUAAUUCCUAAUGGCGAAGGCACUUGGUCUGAGUCCCAGUUCAACUCGUAGUUGAACUUUUUGGGAGAGGGCAUGUAGCCUGAGAUAUUGUUCAAUCGUAGUUGAACCUUCGUAAUUUUUCUGAUGUCGAAGGCACAUGGCCUGAGUCCUAGUUCAACUCAUAGUUGAACUUUUUAGGCGAGGGCAUGUAGCCUGAGUUGUUGUUCAAUCGUAGUUGAACCUUUGUAAUUUUUCUGAUGUCGAAGGCACAUAGCCUGAGUUGUUGUUCAACCGUAGUUGAACUUUUGUAAUUUUUCUGAUGUCGAAGGCCAUAGCCUGAGUUGUUGUUCAACCGUAGUUGAACCUUCAUAAUUUUUCUGAUGUCGAAGGCACAUGGCCUGAGUCCCAGUUCAACUCGUAGUUGAACUUUUUGGGCGAGGGCACGUAGCCUGAGUUGUUGUUCAACCGUAGUUGAACCUUUGUAAUUCUUAAUGGCGAAAGCAAUUGGCCUGAGUCCCAGUUCAACUCGUAGUUGAACUUUUUGGGCGAGGGAACGUAGCCUGAGUUGUUGUUCAACCACAGUUGAACCUUCGUAAUUUUUCUGAUGUCCAAGGCACAUGGCCUGAGUCCAAGUUCAACUCGUAGUUGAACUUUUUGGGCGAGAGCACGUAGCUUGAGUUGUUGUUCAACCGUAGUUGAACCUUUGUAAUUUUUCUGAUGUCGAAGGCACAUAGCAUGAGUUGUUGUUCAACCGUAGUUGAACCUUUGUAAUUUUUUUGAUGUCGAAGGCACAUAGCCUGAGUUGUUGUUCAACCGUAGUUGAACCUUUGUAAUUCUUAAUGGCGAAGGCACUUGGCCUGAGUCCCGGUUCAACUCGUAGUUGAACUUUUGGUCUCCCACAUAACCCGCUUCGUGUUGAGCGUUGGGAUUUGAUCCUGGUUUAGGACCUUGCACAACUCGUGCUUGUAGUCUUCUUGGCUGGUUCGCACAGGUCACCCCGUUACAGAUGUCGGUUCGAGAUGCUUUUGUGUUCUCCUCCUUUUUGGCAGGAUCCCAUGUAAAAAAGGGGCGAGGUACCUUAUGUGCAACUUUCCCAUAGGGAUGGGGGAUCUACUUCUUUCUUCUUCACCUUCCCCUUGCUCGGAGGCGCGGGAUGUGGAAGCAAGCUCGUCUCGAGGCUUUUGAAUUCCUUUGAUCCGACGCGCCGCUUUGGCUUGUUCGAGCUGGGUUGUUUUCUUUCCUUUUUUGGUCCAAGGAUAAACUAUGUGAUUCUGCUAUGAAAUCCCCAUAGACGGCGCCAAAUUAUUUAGCACAAAGUUCUCAUACACUUUAUAAGCAUAAAUCAAUUAAAAUCAACGGAGGGCCAAUCAUAGCAGAUCGUAAUAAAUCAAAAGACCAAAUGAAUAAAAUGUAUGAGACAGUAGUUAUUGGUUUAGGGGAGGAGGGUAAAGAUCUUUUAUUAAUGAUAUCGAUUUGGUCUGCCUCUCCAUGGAGAGGUUCAGAGCCUUACAAUGAUAUAUAUCCUCUUCUUUUAGAAGUCCAGGCGAAGAAGAAGAAGCAGCCCCCCCUUUAGGGUUAUUUAUAGCUGUGGAUCUUGCCAGCUGGCAAUGGGCGGCCGUGGCUACAUCGAAGGGACGUCCGUAAACGAUGAGUAGGCCGUGGUCUUGCUACUCGCUAAUUAGGUUGAGUAACCUUGGAAUACUUUGGUCGGUGAAUGGUUAUACCUUUUAUUAACCCGUACGAGCUUAGGAGCUAGUUAGACACACUACUUAUCCCAAAUCUAAUUCUGACCCAUACAAAGUAUAAGUAUUGAUGGAAGACUUCCAAGUCUUUCCAUUGAAAAGUAAGUACUUUGUAAAUUCCCUAACAUCACAUAAUAUACGUUUCUGCCAAUUUUUCCAAAGACUCUGUACUUUUAAACACAAGUGUAGUUAACAACUGAGUUCAUAUCUAGUGUUCCUCUUCUUGAGAUAGGAAAUUGUUUGUUUGAAUAGUAGGAGGAUUCUACAUGGAUAUCACUUCAUUUGUAAGCUUCCUUCUAUAUCUUCUUCUGAUCUUAGUUCAGGCAAAAGGCAGAAAUGAUUCAACUUGUCCAAAGUCAUUUUCACGUGGAAAUCUCACUGACCUGAGCUUUCCUUUCUCUCUUUCCUCGCAACCUGAUUGUGGAAUAAUGUCCAUGUCUGGUUGUGAUGCUAAACCAUUUCCAAGAAUCCAACUACUUCCUGGAGGAGAUUGGUACUAUGCUUUAAAGAACCAUAAUUUAUCAGUUUGGCUUGGGGAUCCGAAGCUUCAAAUGACAUUGAGGCAACGCGAUUGUCAGGCUUUUAACAAAAUUUUCUCCCUUCCAAGCCCUCUUCUAUUUCUUUCAAUAUGGUUAAUAUUCUCAACUUAUUCAAAUGCAAGAGCACUAGUAGUAACACCAAAAACAUUACCCAGAAGAAGAAUGGCACUUUCGCUGGUUAUAAAAUGUACAAUGGUUGUAAAGGCUUUAGCAUAUACUACAAGCUUCCCGGGGAUGAUGAUGAAGACGUUCGAGCAGACAAUCUUCUUGCCGACUGUUCACUUAUCCGAUUGCCAGUUUACUCUCUAUCAGAUGGUGAUUUGUUCAACUUGUUAGGUCCCGAAAUUCUAGUAGAAUGGAAACUGUCUGAUGAGUGUUACCAAUGUCACUAUGGUGGAGGUCAAUGCCAGACUGAUCAAACCAAAAGAUUUCAUUGUACAAAUCAAUAUAAUCCACAUGCUCAAGGUCUAGUGCAUAUCUCUUAAGAGUCCUUUCUUGUUUAUAUAUGACAUAAUGACAAUAUUUCAUAAAAGAUAAGAGGGAUUGCUCUGAUGGUAAGCAACCCCCACUUCCAACCGAGAGGUUGUGAGUUCGNNNNNNNNNNNNNNNNNNNNNNNNNNNNNNNNNNNNNNNNNNNNNNNNNNNNNNNNNNNNNNNNNNNNNNNNNNNNNNNNNNNNNNNNNNNNNNNNNNNNNNNNNNNNNNNNNNNNNNNNNNNNNNNNNNNNNNNNNNNNNNNNNNNNNNNNNNNNNNNNNNNNNNNNNNNNNNNNNNNNNNNNNNNNNNNNNNNNNNNNNNNNNNNNNNNNNNNNNNNNNNNNNNNNNNNNNNNNNNNNNNNNNNNNNNNNNNNNNNNNNNNNNNNNNNNNNNNNNNNNNNNNNNNNNNNNNNNNNNNNNNNNNNNNNNNNNNNNNNNNNNNNNNNNNNUCUAUCCCAGGGUAGGGGUAAGGUCUGCGUACACACUACCCUCCCCAGACCCCACUAAGUGGGAUUAUACUGGGUUGUUGUUGUUGUUGUUGUUAAUGACAAUAUUUCAUAAUAUUUUCCCUCUUCAUUUUAGGUGCAAAAACGACUAGAAGCAAGUUUUUUUCAUUAAGUAAUAUUACUGCUUGAAAAAUUGUGCUUGAGCCGAGGCGUUUAAUUAUACCUGCAUGGGCACCCUAAGCUUCAGCCACUAGGAAUGUACUUCAAGGCUAUAAAUUAUCUCCCUCUUGAACAGUACUAAGCAGUUAGCAGAUCAACGGUUUUUAAACUUUUUUUGUUUAUGAAAUCUACUACAGGAACAUCAAAAACAGGCCACCGUUGGAGAAUCUGGUACAUACUAACCACAGGUACCUCAUCUUCUUUUUUCUUCUCUGAAACUGUAACUGCCAAGAAAAUUUCUUAGUUACCUUCUUUCCCUUCGCUCUUUCGAACAUCUUAUUCCUUUUGGUCCACAAGAAGUGCUGUAGGAGUCCUGUGGCUGUACUUUCAGAAUGAAUUUAUAUUCUCUGAUGGUGCAUGGCUUCAUUUUUUUCUUCACAGGUGCAGUUUUGUUGACUGUUGCAUUGUUAGUUUUACUCUUCUUCUUCGGAGAAAAGAUUGUAUGGUACAAGUACAUCAGGUUUUGGGAAUCUAAUGCUGAGGAUCACAAAAAUAUUGAAGCGUUUUUAAAGAACUAUGGGUCAUAUACUCCAAAGAGAUACAGCUAUUCAGAAGUCAAAAGAAUCACCAGUGGCUUCAAAAACAAACUAGGUCAAGGAGGAUUUGGUUCUGUAUACAAAGGGAGUAUGCAUAAUGGAAGUCACAUGGCUGUGAAGGUCCUGAAUAGGCUAAAAGGAAGUGGUGAAGAAUUCAUUAACAAGGUGGCAAGUAUUAGCAAGACAUCACACGUUAACAUCGUAAACCUUGUGGGAUUUUGUUUUGAGUGUCGCAAAAGAGUACUCAUUUAUGAAUUCAUGUCAAAUGGAUCUCUUGAAAAGUUUAUCUAUGAGGAAAGAUCCGAUGGAGUUCGCCAAUUGGGCUGGCCAAUAUUGUACAAAAUUGCACUAGGCAUUGCUUGAGGAUUGGAGUACUUGCAUCGUGCUUGUACCACUCGGAUUUUGCAUUUUGAUAUAAAGACUCAUAAUAUCCUGCUUGAUGAAGAUUUUUGUCCUAAAAUCUCUGAUUUUGGUCUUGCCAAACUGUGCAUGAAAAAGGAAAGCAUUGUAUCAAUGUUAGGUGCACGAGGGACUAUCGGUUAUAUAGCUCCAGAAUAUUAUGCAGAAACUUGGGAGGUGUAUCUCACAAGUCAGACGUCUAUAGCUACGGAAUAAUGGUCCUAGAGAUGGUUGGAGGAAGAAAAAAUGUUGAUGCCGGAGUAGAUCGCACAAGUGAAAUCUACUUUCCACACUGGCUCUAUCAACGAAUUGAACUAGACGAAGAGAUUCAGUUAAUUGGGAUAAAAUCGACCAUCUAUGACUAAAGUUGUAGAUAUGUUAGAAGGGAACCUAGAGCUUCUGCAGAUUCCUCCCAAGCCUUACCUAUGUUCUCCCUCAAGAUCAGAGGUAGAUUCAUCAGUAGUAGAACUGGUCUAGUGUUUAUUUGUAGAUAUGUCAGUUAUUAUCCAUGUAGUCCAUUUUGUUAUGGAAUUUUAGCAAAAGCUGGUAUCCAAUGUGUUUAGAUGUCCUUGAGUGUGGGAAGCUGUAAUUUUCAUGUUUUUCUUAGUGAUUUAUCACUAAAAAAGAUCAGCGAUUUGCGUAACGGGGGAAUUUUAGAAGUGCUGGUAGCAUGGGCGAAGCCACAUGGUCAAAAGGGUGGUCACUCGACCACUCUUCGAUGAAAAAUUACACUCUAUAUAUAGGUACAAUAUUACGUAUUAGAGGGAUAUAACACAUAUUGAACACUAUGUAUAUAGGUACAAUAUCGGAAUUUUUUUUCCACUUAACUAGUAAAGAGAAGAAAGAUUUGGUUCAACCAAUGUUGUAGUAAUAAUCUGUCUAAAACUUCAGAGGAAAGAACAUAUUUAAUGUAGAAGAUAUAAGAUUGUAUUGCAAUUAUCAUUAAUUGUCAGGGAUGUAAAAUUAUUGCAUGAAAAUUGAAAGGAUCUAACGACUUUAGGAAAUAUUCUUUACAAGUUGAAUUUCAGCUGUUGCUACAAGAGUUUUCACAUUCUGGGUGUCUAUCGAAAACAACCUCUCUACCCUCAAGGUAGGGGUAAAGUCUGCGUAUACAUUACCCUCUCCAGACUCGACUCGUGGUACUAUACUGGUUUGUUGUUGUUGUUGUUGUACUCAGGAAAGUACCUCAACUCGAAAAUUUCUUCACAGUGAUUUGAAUGUGCUUCUGAGAAAUACCUAAAUCCAUUUACAACCUUGACAUAAAAUAUGCAGUGUAAGAUUGACUGGAAAAUAAUGACCACAUGAAAUAAUUCCACUGAACAAUUAAGUUAAUAUCUAGUCUUCCUUUCUUGAGGUAGGAAAUUUUUGUUUGAGCAUGGGAUGAUUCCAUAUAUCUUAGUCUUCUUCUUUUGUUUGCAUUCCUCAAUUAUUAGUCUUCUUCUUUUGUUUGCUUCCUGAAUACCUCCAGUUUCUUCAAAUGCAACAGAAACAGGAAGGAAAAAAGUACACGUCUUUUAUUUGCACAUAAAUUUUCCAUGACCAAAUAGACAUAUUUUACGUAAUACCCCAGCCCGCUAGUGAUAUUGUCUGCUCUGGGCCUAGGCUCUCAUGGAUUUAAAACGCGUCACUAGGGUUUAAGGCUUAUUAACUUACAUACUAGCAUCCUCUUGUAUUUUGCCAAUGUGGGACUUUGUCUAAAGUCUGGGGUAUUACACUUUAACUGCAUAUGAUGUGACCAAAGGGAGAAAGAAAAAGACAGAUUGAAUCAAAGAAGAAAGAUGGUGACAGCAAGUUUAUGGUGCAUACAGACUGAUCCCUCGAAUCGACCAUCUAUGACUAAGGUUGUGGAAAUGUUACAAGGGAACCUAGAGCUUUUGCACAUUCCUCCCAAGUCUUACCUAUAUUCUCCCUCAAGAUCAGAGGUAGAUUCAUCAAUAGUAGAAUUGAACUAGUCUCUCAUUGUUGAUCUGUCGCUUGUUAUUUGUUUAGUCUUAUAUUGUUGUGAAUUUUCAGUAAAGGCUGGUACUGUAGCCCCUAUUUUUCUUCGACUGUUCAAUUUAGUACUCCCUUUAUUCCGUUGUCUGAGACACUUUUGUUUUUAGUCUGUUUCAAAAAGAAUGACACCUUAAUAACUACUUAUUUAUUACUCUUUCCAUUCCAAAUUAUGUGAUGACAUAGUUUGACUGAGCAUUAGGUAUAAGAAAGAAAUUGGGGUGCAUGGAGUAUUUUCUUCAUACAUUUCUCCUUGAAGAUGGUGGCAGGUCUAGUAUCUGAUGUACUUAGAUGUCCUCGAGGGUAGAAAGCUACGAAUUCAUGUCUUUUUAAUGAUCGAUCGCUAAAGGAUAAGUUAUUUGCCUACAGGAAUUCAAGAACUGUCGCAUCGGAGAUCAGAAUGUACAUUCUCCUUAUAUGAAAGUGGAGAACAAAUCAGAUAUUUAUCUUUGGUGGCAGAGUAGUAUUAAUAAACAGUGUUUGGGUUCUUUGCCCACUAACAUGAUGUUUCUGUUUCUUAUCCCAGUUAUGGUGAAAAAGACAUAAGACAGAAUUAGAAGAAAAUUUCUUGGGAAGAAAAUAAAGAUAAAAGAGCCUUUCACUUAGCUAACUCAUGCAUCAUUACCAAGUAUGUCAAUAAUUUUUCAUAGUUCUUUCUCAUAUCUGACAUAUAUCUUAGUUAAGGUGAUUUACUAACAUUGGCAUCGGAGCAGGAAAGGGAGCUUUGGCGUAACUGAUAAAGUUGUUGUCAUGUGACCAGGAGGUCAUGGGUUCGAGCUGUGGAAACGGCCUCUUGCAUAAAUGCAGGGUAAGGCUGCAUGCUAUGGACCCUUGUGGUCUGUCAUUUCCCCGGACCCAGAGCUUAGUGCACUGGGCUACCCUUUUUUGGCAUCAGAGCAUACUAUAUGUCAGCCAAUAAUUUGAGUAGGUUCCAUCAAAUGAAGAACUGUGAUAGAGACAUGAAAUGUACGCAAAGAGGAUUUAUUUUGUAAUUACAGAUAGUGCUUGGGAUCUCAGUUGGUACUGCAGCUGAUAUAGUCUCAGACAUCAGUUCUUGCUGCUGCAUGUUAUUGCAUUGCAUGUCAAGAAAGAGAAAGAGAGGGCGACCAGGAUAUAUAGGGUAGCCCGACGUACUAAGCUUAUGCUAUGGUUCUGUGGAAGGUUAGAUUCUACAUUGAGAGAGCGCUGCCUCAUUGAAAGGCUCUAUACAUCUGCCAUUUGUACAUCAAUGCAUUUCUUUAGGCAAAGUCAUGUUUUUGCCUCUUUCUGGGUAAUAUGAUGAUGGCCCAAAACAAUCAAACGAGUAAAAGGGCAGUUCGGUGCACUAAAUUCCCAUUAUGCACAGGGUUCGAGGGAGACCGGACCACAAGGGUCUAUUGUACAGCCUUUCUGCAAGAGGCUAUUUUCACGGCUCGAACCCGUGACCUCCUGGUCACAUGAUAACAACUUUACCAAUUACGCCCAGGCUCCCUACAAACAGUCAAAAGGAGUGAAUUCCAGAUAUAGCUUUGAGGUAUUUCCUGACGGACUCUGGAAUCUGUUGGAUGAGUAAUACUCUUUAAGUUCACCAUAACUAGGUCAACCUUAGCUAAAUCUACCAUCCACACCAAGAGUGUCCAUUAAACUUGUCUCAAGAAACUAUCACCUUCCAUAUAUAUGUGUAAUGUGAUCAUGUUACAAUAAUCCACCAGGAUCCCACUAGUGGGGUCUGGGGAGGGUAGAGUGUACGCAGAUUUUACCCCUUACCCCUUACCCCUUACCCCGAAGGGAUAGACUAUUGAGACGCUAUCUCCGGGAGACCCUCGGCUCAGAGACAAUAAAUCCGUUAUAAGCUCAAACAGAAAGGAAAUGCUCACAUUUGAUCAACUGAUAUGGUCACGCACAUUAUCUUGCAUACUUCGCAUUUCAGAGAUAAUAUUAAAUAAUUAUAUUAAUUUAAAUUAAAAUAUAAAAAUUCAAUAAAUAUACUACAAGUUAGUCAAUGUGUCACAAGUUGUAAGUGUCAUAUCAAAAGAGAAAAAACUACCAGAAAGGGAAAUAUAACCAUCAUUUUGGAUCAAAGAAAAUAUAUUUUUAUGGGUUGAAUUUAAGUUAUUGCUAUAAUGACUUCUACUUCCAACUUACAUAGAAGUUCCUGAUUUGGAAAAUUCACUCAAAGUGUUUUGAAUGCUUUUUUUCUCUUAGUCUUGCCUUCUGAGAAAUUUCCAAAAUCCACUAACAACAUUAUAGGUCAAAUAUAUGGAAAAAGAAUGAAGUCCUUGGACGCUGCCCAUCACCUAAGAAAGACGGGUAAAUGCGGGAAAUAAUUGGAAAUUGUUAAGUCUUGCAUUGGUUGGGGAAAUGGAUUGUGGUGUUCAAAUUUGUCAUAGAAGGGGUACCCCAAUUUACUAUUUGUGUCUGUUAUUAUGUUUUUAUAUAAAUAAAGAUAUCUUGUAAUAAUUAUAAUUAAAUUAAGAAUUUGAAUUCUAAUUACUAAUUAGAAAUUAGAUAAUAUUUAUUAUUAAUNNNNNNNNNNNNNNNNNNNNNNNNNNNNNNNNNNNNNNNNNNNNNNNNNNNNNNNNNNNNNNNNNNNNNNNNNNNNNNNNNNNNNNNNNNNNNNNNNNNNNNNNNNNNNNNNNNNNNNNNNNNNNNNNNNNNNNNNNNNNNNNNNNNNNNNNNNNNNNNNNNNNNNNNNNNNNNNNNNNNNNNNNNNNNNNNNNNNNNNNNNNNNNNNNNNNNNNNNNNNNNNNNNNNNNNNNNNNNNNNNNNNNNNNNNNNNNNNNNNNNNNNNNNNNNNNNNNNNNNNNNNNNNNNNNNNNNNNNNNNNNNNNNNNNNNNNNNNNNNNNNNNNNNUAUAAUUAAAUUAAGAAUUUGAAUUUUGAUUACUAAUUAAUACUUAGAAAUUAGAUAAUAUUUAGUACGUAAAUUAACACCCCAUGUCGUGAAAGAACUAUUGCCGGCUCCCCAAUCAUCACGUCUCCAACUUCCUUGACCUUCCGGCACUGGACAGGCAUCAGCCCUCAUACAUGGUCGUAAUAUCUUUACUUGGUAUUAGAGUCAGACUCAUUGAUCCCUAUCGCUGCGUUUGUCAAUGUCAGGCCACCGUUACUCACGCAUUAAGUCCUGAGUGUGUGGGAGAGACUUUUCCAAUGUCAAGUCUUAGUUGUACAAGUCUUGAUCAUCCAUUUCUUUACAGGGAUUAACUCUUUCUACUAGCUCUUCAGUGAUUCAAUUGCCCAUGGUGUUAGGUUAUGAAGAUUCUUCUUUUCUUACUCCUUGGUGUGAAGAUUUUUUACUCUGUGGAAAUAGUCUCUUGCAGAAAUAUACUGCGUACAAUAGACACUUUUAGUCCGGCACUUCUUCGGACCCUGCGCAUAGCAGGAGCUUAGUGUACCGGGGCUGUCGUUUCCCCUAAUUAAGAACACUGAAUAUUGGGCAUUAACCUUUAUGUAGGCGACAUUCUCUGUUAUGUACUGUAUCCAAUUGAAGUUCCAAGAAUCAAGACCUUCCUUCAUCCAGCUUGUAGCUUAAUUUAUUGAGUUUGAUUAGCUAUAAAAGGGUUAUCUGGUGCAUUAAGUUUCCGCUAUGUGCGAUAUCCGAGGAAGGGCCGGACCACAAGGGUCUAUUGUAUGCAGUCUUAACCUACAUUUCUACUAAAGGCUAUUUCCACGACUUGAAUCUGUGACCUCCUGGUCACAUCACAACAACUUUACCAAUUACUCCAAGGUUUCCCUUCUCCGAUUAGCUAUAUAUAAGUUGCAAUUUGUCCCACAUUAAAUAAAAGGAAUAUCAAAACAGUCUCUUCAUAAGACUUGACAGUGAAGACUAAUUAUUGCUACAAGACUUUAAUUCCAUUAACAAGAAGGUGCUUUGAAAAUUCACCUCACAGCACUUAAUAUACAUUUAUCACAAUUUCUCCAACUCCACUAACAACUAAAAGCAGUGAACAACUGAGUUCAUAUCUUGUCUUCAUUUUCUUGAGAUCAGUGGCCUGUGGGAGGAUUUAAUAUGACUUUCACUUCUUUUGUAGUAUGCUUUAUUCUGAUCUGUUACUUAGUUCAAACAAAAGGCAGAAGUGAUUCAUCUUGUCCAAAGUCAUUUUCAUGUGGAAAUCUUACUGACCUGAGCUUUCCAUUCACUCUUUCCACACAAUCUGACUGUGGAUUUCUGUCCAUAUCUGGUUGUGAUGCUAAACCAUUUCCAAGAAUCCAGCUGCUUCCGGGAGGAGAUUGGUACUAUGCGUUGGGGAAGCCGUAUAAUUAUACAGUUUGGCUUCGGGACACCAAACUUGAAGCAACUUUAAGGCAACUAGAAUGCCAGGUUUUCGACGAAAAUUUCUCCCUUCCAAGCUCUCCUUCUGUUUCUUUCAAUAUACUUAACCUUCACAACUUCUUCAAAUGCAACAAGAGUAGUAAUAAUACCUUAAACGUUACGCUGAAGAUGAAAGAUUAUUUUACUGGUUAUGAAAUGUACGACGGAUGUGAUGCCUUCAGCAUAUACUAUAAGCUUCAUGGAGAUAAUGAUGUUGAUGAUCGCGACAUUUCAGCAGGCAAUCUUACUGCUGCUUGUUCACUUGUCAGAUUGCCAAUUGUAUCAGUAUCAAAUGAUGGUAAUGUUUUCACAAUGUUAAGUCCUGAAUUUCAAGUAGAAUGGAAACUGUCUGAUGAGUGUUAUGGCUGCCACUAUAGUGGAGGUCAAUGCCAGACUGAUAUUACCAGCAAAUUUCUUUGUCACACAGGUAGACAUCUCCAUAUUCAAGAUCAAGUUAACAUUUAUUAAGGCCCUUUCUUAUUCCAUAUAAACAAAUCUAUAAUAUGUCAUAACAUUAUCCCUGUAUUAGGAAGGUGUGGAGGUCGAAGAUUAGGAUAGUAGGUUAGGUAGUCUAGAUUAUUCAUAUAGGUAGUGUUAGUACGUACUCUCGUAUUUGGUUGGUCGUAGGCUUAUCUGAAUAUCUGCUGUUGUUGUUGUUCUUUUUUUUUUUUUUACAUUUCGAUUAUCUUACUAUCUUGUUAUGUAUGCUGCUUUUACAUAGUUUUUUGGUGUUGUCCCGUCUUGUUUUCUUGUUAUUAUUGGGGUAACUAUCCUUGGCUAGGGCGGGGUGCGUAUGCAGAUCUUACCCCUACCUUUAAGAAGGCCUUGUCUCCGGCGGACCUUUGGCUUAGGAAAAAUAAAAGUAGGGGCAACAACAAGCAAACCAAUCAGAAAACCGAAGCGAAAAUACAAAACUAAUACUAGGUAAUGCAAUCAGAAAACCGAAACGAAAGCAACAACAAGUAGUAAUAGAAGUCAAGGAGUACGAAAAUACACAAAUGACACUAAAUAAUGUACUAAAUCUAUUGUUACAAAUAAGGACAACGCUCAGCUACCUAUACAAAUCCGUAUACCAAAAGAGUAGAGAACCUACACUGAAACAUGAUUCAAAGCUUCAGCCACUGUUUUUGGAUCAAAUAUACUUCCAGACUUCAAACUAUCUCUUUUCCUAUUAGGUGCUCAUUCUUUUUUGAUCAUUAAUUGACUUUUCGCUUAACCAGACAUAAGUUUAAUAAUCUAAAACUCACAAGUGUUAGUAUUGCAGAUGUUAGCAAUAUAACAGCAGCAGGUACAUCAAAAAGGGGUUACCUCCGGACACCCUGGUUCAUUGUAGCCACAGGUAACUCAUCUUCUUUUUUCUUCUCUCGAAGAGUGACCGCGAUAUUUUCUCAGAUACCUUUUUAUCCCUUUCUCCCUUUUGCUGUUUUGAAUAUUUUUUCCCACGGAGUGCUAAAGGAGUUUAUGAAUGAAUCUAUACUUUCUUAUGGUCAUGACUUCAUUUUUGUCCACAGGUACAUUGUUCACUUGUAUUGGACUAUUGGUUUUACUCUUCUACUUCAGGAACAAGAUUUUGUGGUACAAAUACCUAAGAUUUUGGGAUUCUAAUGCUGAGGAUCACCAAAAUAUCGAAGCAUUUUUAAUGAAUUAUGGGUCGUAUGCUCCAAAGAGAUACAGCUAUUCAGAAGUCAAAAGAAUCACCAGUCACUUCAAAAACAAACUAGGCCAAGGAGGAUGUGGUAAUGUAUACAAAGGAAGAUUGCAUAACGGAAAGCAUGUAGCGGUGAAGCUUGCAAAUCGAAAAGGCACUAGUGGUGAAGAAUUCAUUAACGAGGUUGCAAGUAUUAGCAAGACAUCACAUGUUAACAUAGUGAGCCUUGUGGGAUUUUGUUUUGAGGGUCGCAGAAGAGCUCUCGUUUAUGAAUUCAUGCCAAAUGGAUCUCUUGAAAAGUUUAUCUAUGAGGAAAGAUCCAACAGAGUUCGCCAAUUGAGUUGGCCAAUAUUAUACAAAAUUGCACUAGGCAUUGCUCGUGGAUUGGAGUACUUGCAUCGUGGUUGUACCACUCGGAUUUUGCAUUUUGAUAUAAAGCCUCACAACAUCCUACUUGAUGAUGAUUUUUGUCCUAAGAUUUCCGACUUUGGUCUAGCCAAACUUUGCAUGAAAAAGGAGAGUGUCGUGUCAAUGUUAGGUGCACGAGGGACUAUUGGUUAUAUAGCUCCGGAAAUAGUUUGCAGAAACUUGGGAAGUGUCUCUCACAAGUCUGAUGUCUAUAGCUACGGAAUGAUGGUCCUAGAGAUGGUUGGAGGAAGAAAAAAUGUUGAUGUUGAAGUUGACCGUACAAGUGAAAUCUACUUCCCACAUUGGCUCUAUCGACGAAUUGAACUAGACGAAGAGCUCCAACUAAUCGGGAUAAUGAAUGAUUCGGACAAAGAAUGCGCAAGAAAGAUGGUAUUAGUGAGUUUAUGGUGCAUACAGACUGAUCCCUCGAAUCGACCAUCGAUGAGCAAAGUUGUGGAAAUGUUAGAAGGAAACCAAGACUACCCUUUGAAAAUACCUCCCAAGCCUUACCUAUAUCCUGCCUCAAGAUCAGAGGUAAAUUCAUCAGUAGUAGUAGAACCUGUCCAAUCUUCAUUUAUUGAUAUGUCAGCUAAUAUUUUUUAUGAAAUUUAAGCAGAAGUUGAUAAUGUCUUUGAAUUUGAUAGACAACAAGGCUUGUUGUUUAUGUACUUUGAUUCAAUACCAGCUAGAUUUAGGAUCAUCUCAUGCAAAUGAUGUAAAGUCUACUGCAUACUGCCAUUAAGAAGAUCUAAGAACUGAUUGAUCAAGAAGCAAGUCUUCACAGAUCACAAAAUUAUGAGGGCAGUUCAAUCCCCUCCCCGGAAUAAUUAAUAAGGCAAAGAUCACUUUUAACUCGCGGCCGAAACUAUGGUAAUCAAAAAAGUGUAUAAAACUGUAUAUUUUUUGUAUAUAAUAUACAGAAAUGUGUGUAUAUAUAAUAUAUAUAAAACAUAUAUUUUUCGGCUAUUAUUUUGAGAGAAGCUAGGGGUGUGCAUUCGAAUUAUCGAUUCGAUUUUGACCCUUAUCGAUAAUUACUUAUCGAUUAUAGAUUUGUACAUAUGCUUUUACCGAUUCGAUUUUGACCCUUAUCGAUAAUUACUUAUCGAUUAUUUAUUUGUAUAUAUGCUUAUCAUUAUCGUUUCUAUAAGGUUUCGAUUUUUUCGAUUUCGAUUUAUUGAUUUUGGGGGCUUAUCGAUUCGGUUAUCGAUUACACCAAUAAGAAAAUUUGCGGGAUUCUACGAAAAGUAUAUUGCUAUAAACGCGCAUAACUAAUAUGGACAUAAAGAAGCUAAAAUAAGGCGAACACCAUUUAUAACAUAAAAAUUGUAUCAACAAGCACAUACAACAAAACUAAAGUAAGGGAUCAAAUGUAAGCCACCAACACUCCAACGGUAUAAAAAAAUAAAAUAAAAUAAAAUACAUCAUCACGACUAAUUUUAUUUUCCAUUAAUUUGAACUUCAUUCCCUUGAUCUUUAAAUAUGAUCAUUCCUUAAAUGUGGUAGAGGAANNNNNNNNNNNNNNNNNCGACUAAUUUUAUUUUCCAUUAAUUUGAACUUCAUUCCCUUGAUCAUUAAAUAUGAUCAUUCCUUAAAUAUGGUAGAGGAAAUAAUAGGGUAAGGGGCGUAGGGUAAAGGAAAGGGUAUAGAUUAGGUAAAAUGAUAUUGUAUAGCCACUUUCAAAAUAGUACCGGAAUAUAUACAUUAUGUAUGUUAUAUUAAUCUACACAAAUAGGUAAUUACUCAUUUUACAAGUAUCUACGGUCUACGGGUGUGCAUUCGAUUUAUCGAUUCGAUUUUGACCCUUAUCGAUAAUUACUUAUCGAUUAUCGAUUUGUACAUACGCUUAUCCUUAUUAUUUCAAUAAGGUUUCGAUUUUUUCGAUUUCGAUAACAAAUAAUUGAUUCGAUUUAUCGAUAAACCGUUUCGAAUGCACACCCCUAAGAGAAGCUAUAUAAUAUCAUUUUUCCUAAUAAAUAAAUAUGAAAAGGACAAAAUAUCCACAUUUGCCUAAACCUUGGAGUCAAAACGCAUAGGUAAUUUCUUCUCAGCUACCUAAGUUUUGGUGAGUAGAUCAGUUACCCGAUACUUGUGCCAACGGGAGGUAACAAAUAUAUGAUGGAAUCGUCGAGGUGUGCACAAGCAGGCCACGACACCACCGUCAUAAAAAAAGACAAAUAUUCUAUUUGGAUGAGUUCAUCUGCAAUUUGUAGCAGAGAUAGUAUUCACAAUAGCUAUGAUCCCCUUUUCGACUUUCAUUAAUCUUUGUUAGGAGUAAGUGUUAUCUAGGGCUUCCACUUUACCCUAAAAAUAUCUCAUAAAUAAAAUUGACAUUCCAGCACAAACAUCCUGACAGAGAAUUAAAUGUACAAGGAUCUUAUGUUCCUUGUAUUUUUAAUCUACUAGUAUCUGGACACGUGCUUUGCACGUGUGUCCUUGCAAGUGUUACUCAACUUUUGAUGCCCAGAAAAUUUGAUGGAUAGAUGAAGAAGAAAGAGGCUUUAAAAUUUUAACAGGAAUUUCACUUUUAAUUCCAUUACUGGAAUGCCCUAAAAAGUGAGGGAUUCUUGGCUCUUCUCUUUAUUUGAUGUAUUGUAAAACACAAAUUUAGUUGAUUUUUUUGGGCUGAAUUUAAAACAAAAAAAAUUCUUUAUUUUCAUAUAAGGAAAGUUGAAUUAUAUUACGGAAAGAAAGAAAAAGUUGGACAAUUUUUGCUCCAUACUUUUUUUUUUUAAAAAUGUCGACAACUGUAUUUAGAUAAUAUUUUAUUUUAUACACAAAACAUGUAAACGAGAAAUGAUAACUUUGAUUGCAUCCGAUUGUUUCAAAGGUCCAGGGUGAUAACGAUAAAAUACCACUAAGAUGUUCUGUAUCUAUAUUUUUCUUUUUGGAGUAUUAUUUUUCGAUUAGAGAUGAAUGAAGUUAAAAAGGACGAAAUGUUGUCGUUGAGAAAGAAGCAAGCGUGAGAAUAACCCCAAAAAAGCCCUGAUGAGUUCUGAAACAAAUCUACCAGCUUUAUUGCUAUUAAUCUUAGCAUCAUCGUCAAGAGACGACUCUCCCCUAUGUAUUCUAGCUAAAGUUGUCAUACGGGCCGGGUCUACCCGCAAAUCGGACCGGCCUGGUUCAUAAGGGGUUGGGUGGGCUGGGUAGGGGGUAGGAGGGGUUUGGUAGGUUUAGUAUAACUAAUAUGGACAUAAAGAAGCUAAAAAUAAGGGGUUGGGUGGGCUGGGUAGGGGGUAGGAGGGGUUUGGUAGGUUUAGUUUCAUUUUCCAGUUAAUUGGAUCCGGAUAAUCCAGAAUGCGUGAACAAUGCCCAAACCGGUUAACCCGAACCGGCCGGUCCAGUUAAACAGUAUUUUUUUAUUUUUAUUUUCCAAAGAAGGUAGGGCCUACUAUCUGUUGGCUGACUCACUUUUCAGAACGGACCCGUUGGCCAACAGAUCUACCGAAGAAAUGACCUUUUUUUUAGUUGUAUGUUUUUAACCCUUUUUUGAAUGUAUAAAAUUAACCUUUUUAAAAAUUAUAAAUACUCCAUCCCCUUCAUUUCUUCACUCAAAUUUCAUAUCUCAAUCUCAAUUUCUCUCAUUCUCCAAUAUGCAAUACUUAAAUUCAUCAUCCCAUCCUCUAAUUUUAUUUGGCUCACUUUUUUGAAUUUAAUUUUUCAUUCAAAAUUUGAAGUUUGAAGUUUCAACUUUGAACAAUUGAAGUUCAAAAUUGAAAAACUUGCUUGACGAGUUAACGUUUGUUCGUGAUAACAUCGGAAUUGCUUAAUCAAGUGCUACUUUUAUUGUCGAAUUCGGUGCACUCUCUCCAACUCUUACUUUUAUUUACUAUUUUAAUUGCAUGUGCUACUUUUAUUGUCGAAUUCGGUGCACUCUCUCCAACUCUUUCUUUUAUUUACUAUUUUAAUUGCAUAUUUAACUUUAGUUUAUACUUUAAUUUUUACAAUAUAUUGAAUGCUGCUAAAGAGCGUGUAAAAAAGUUACUGGUAGGGAAAAUAAAAAAAGAGAUCGUCCUUCAGCAUCUGGUAGUAAUAGUAAUACCCAAUUUACACAUGUUUCCGAAACAUCGCCUAAUGAUAAUAUAUAUUAUGAACAAUUACAAGAAGAUUUUGGAAUAGAAGAUAAUGAAAUAGGAACGGAAGAUGAGAUACUAGCUACACCUACUAGUGUUUGAGCCGGUAAUGCUAGAGUUAGUACAAGGGGUGGUGGUCAUGUCACUAGUAGUAGACCACAUGUGGCUCCGACAACUAAUCGUAGAAAAAGAAGUAAGGUUUUUUUAUUUUUUUGAAAUAAUAGAAGGUACUGAUAGAGUGAGAUGCAAAAUUUGAAGGAUACUUUUAAACAUUUGACUGGAGGAAAUUUAGGGUGGACUAAGACGCUUAGUAGACAUAUAAGAGUUGACCAUUCCAUAAAAUGGGACCUUGACGGUGAUGACAAUCAAAUAACUAUUAAUCAUACUACUGGAGGUCUAGUGAAAUAUGAUUAAAUGAGGGAUCGUGAGGAGUUAGCAAAAAUAAUUACUUUGGGUUGUCUACCGUUUUCUUUUGCUUCUUCAUCAUAUCUUAUUAUGUAUAUUCAAAGAAUUUACAAUCCUUUAUUUAAUGGUAUCCCUAGAAGUACUUGUAGAGCUGAUAUCUUUAGACUUCAUGGACAAUAUCAAAUAUACNNNNNNNNNNNNNNNNNNNNNNNNNNNNNNNNNNNNNNNNNNNNNNNNNNNNNNNNNNNNNNNNNNNNNNNNNNNNNNNNNNNNNNNNNNNNNNNNNNNNNNNNNNNGUUUAGCCACCUUCNNNNNNNNNNNNNNNNAUAUACAUAUGUUAUUUGUUUAGCCACCUUCCUUGUAGAGUUUGUCUAACUUCUGAUAUUGGCCAUGCUGUUAAUGGAAAUGAUUAUUUAACAACUACAUGCCAUUGGAUAGAUGAUACUACUUGUAUGGAAAAACGUAUUAUCGCUUUUAAAUAUGAUGAAGAUCAGAGUCAGACUGCUGCGUUUAUAAGUAAUACUAUUGUUGAAGUUGCUGAAUUUUAUAAUCUAAAAAAAAUACUGUGUAUAUCUUUUAAUAAUACUUCUAAUAAUAAUGCCACAAUUUCAAUAUUAAAUGCAUUUGAAACCACCUCUUGAUGACAUUUUUCAUGUUAGAUGUGCAUGUGAUGUUUAUAAUUUUUACAAUAUAUUGAAUAAAGAUAGAGCCAAGAAUUCCUCACUUUUUAGGGCAUUCCAGUAUGGAAUUAAAAGUGAAAUUCAUGUUCAAAUUUUAAAGCUAAGAGUCCAAAGAAGAUGGCAGCUCAGACGUACACAUUAUCAAAGAUGUAUAUCGUAUUCCUUGAUCUUAUUACCAAUAUUAAUUUUCGUGAAGUCUAAACUAUACAAUACUUUUUUCUGUAGUGUGUUAAAAUUUUGCUUGGUAAUAUACAUAUUUUAACAGAGUCCCGAUGCACCUCUUCUAAAAGAGUCAUAAUACACCUACCAUCUUUCUUCUUCAUCUAUCCAUCAAAUUUUUUGGGCAUCAAAAAUUGAGUACCACUUGCAAGGACGCACGUGUCGAGAUAUUAGUAGAUUAAAAAUACAAGAAACAUAAAAUCCUUGUACAUUUAAUUCUCUGCCAGGAUGUUUGUGCUGGAAUAUAAAUUUUAUUUAUGAAAUAUUUUUUAGGGUAAGGUGGAAGCCCUAGAUAACAACAAUAAUAACUACCCAGUAUAGUCCCACAGAGUGGGGUUUGGGGAGGGUAAUAUGUAAACAGGCCUUACCCCUAUCCGAAAGGGCAGAGAGGCUGUUUCCAAUCGACCCUCGACUCAGUGAAGGAAAGGAACAACAAAAACAAAACCAAAGAGCAUUAGUACUUCAGCGGAAAUAGCAUAAAUAAUUAUCUACACAUAAGAACCAUAACUAAAAUAGCAUGCAAUAAUAGUAGUAGAGAGUAACAACCAUAAAUAACUACCAUAAAGGAGACACAGUCCAAUACACAAAUCGUCUAUGGAUAGCCCUCCCAAGCCUCACCCAACCCCGGGUGAGGAGUACCAAAACUCUAGGAGCCCCUAUCCUAUAACCCUAAUACUAGACCUCCAGACUCUCCUAUCA